RNAcentral lists this ribosomal RNA (389 nucleotides) under uncultured bacterium. Its description in RNAcentral is "bacterial SSU rRNA". It matches the Rfam family "Bacterial small subunit ribosomal RNA", at positions 529 to 916 of the family's 1533-position model. The record is from RNAcentral.
GGGGUGCAAGCGUUGUUCGGAAUUAUUGGGCGUAAAGCGCGUGUAGGCGGUCUGAUUAGUCUGAUGUGAAAGCCCUGGGCUCAACCCAGGAAGUGCAUUGGAUACUGUCAGACUUGAAUACGGGAGAGGGUAGUGGAAUUCCUAGUGUAGGAGUGAAAUCCGUAGAUAUUAGGAGGAACACCGGUGGCGAAGGCGGCUACCUGGACCGAUAUUGACGCUGAGACGCGAUAGCGUGGGUAGCAAACAGGAUUAGAUACCCUGGUAGUCCACGCCGUAAUCGAUGAGUACUAGGUGUUGCGGGUAUUGACCCCUGCAGUGCCGCAGCUAACGCAUUAAGUACUCCGCCUGGGAAGUACGGUCGCAAGACUAAAACUCAAAGGAAUUGACGG